AGAAACAUAUGGAUCAAGAGUCCAGAUCAAAGAGAACGGAGAAUGACGACAUCUCAUCACUUCGCUCUUGGAUAACCCUAAAACGGCCAGCCGACGAAUCUCUUCGACAUUCCAUCUCACCUCUGCGCAUGGCGACCAAGUGAUGUUCUUCAGAGAUGCUUCACUCCGUCCACGCGAAGCCAAGUUGAAGUUUCGUCUGAUUCACAUCGGGGAGGCUCGAAAUCCAAAGUCGAAGAUCCUUAUUGGACAAGAGAUUCUCCUUAUCGACGAAGAGAGAACGGUUAUUUAUCUACCGCCACCUCCGUGAGUGGUCGCUCUGGAGCUAUUUGCGUAGGAAAUCGCGCCUUUCCGUUUUGCUCAGCCUUUGAGUUCUCUCCUCUCCCUGUGUUAACGUGUUCCUCUUCUUGAUGUCUCUGUUUCUCAUAUCUGCUAUUGUUGAUUUUGUCUAGAAGCAGCAGGUCUAUUCUAAGUUGCUGCGUCCGAGUUUCAUUACGGUCCAAACCAUGUCAGAGUCUCAGACAGCUCUAAAGAAUCAGCCACAGUCCUCGGCCUCCUCUGGAAAGAAGCAAGCUUUGAUAUCUUUAUCUGACAAGUAGGAUUAAGCUACUCUUGGCAACGGUCUUCAAGAGUUAGCUCUCAUUUUGUUUUUUUUUUUCUCGAAAAGAAGCUUAAUGACCGUGCGAAGACUUUGCACCCAAACAUACACGGUGGUAUCCUCGCUAGAAGAGAUGUGGAGCAUCAUAUGGAAGCUUUUAAUGAGCAUGGCGUUGGUACAUUUGAUGUGGUGGUUAUCAAUUUGUAUCCGUUCUACGACAAAGUUACUGCUCCAGGUGGGAUCAGUUUUGAGGAUGGGAUUGAGAACAUCGACAUUGGUGGUGCUGCUAUGAUUAAAGCAGUUGCUAAGAACCACAAAGAUGUCUUCAUCGUUGUCGAUUCAGAGGAUUAUCAAGCUGUUUUGGAGUAUCUCAAAGGAGCUCAGAACGACCAAAAAUUCCGCAGGAAAUCUGCGUGGAAGGCCUUUCAGCACAUUGCUGCUUAUGAUUCCGCUGUCUCAGAAUGGCUAUGGAAGCAGACUGAGGGACGUAGGUGCUUAUUUUUUAUGUGAUCCUCCUUACACUAGAUCGAGAUGUAGUGGCUUCCAGUUGUGUUGGAUACCAGCCGUCAGUGUCCUUAGAUACGGUGUGGAGCUUGCUGUUGCAGAUAAGAGUGAUGAAGCUGUUUACGUCGGUUCUGGUGGGGAGAUAACAAAACUAACUAAUAUUAGAGCCGCUGAAGCUGGGCACCUUCACGCCGCAAGUGUUGAGAAUCGUAAAGACAGCCAGCUCCCUCUGUCCAUAACUUGAUGGGAGAAACAUACAGUUUUCAGCUAGGCUGACACAUUUCAGUUUGACUUCUAAUCAUCAGACCUUCACGAUUUCAUCCAUUUUUAAUAAGCGUAACUGUCCACCAGUCCCAGAUUUCGUUGUUGAUGGAGUGAGCUCACUUACCAUCAAUGUCUGUGCCGGUCCUCCUGAUAAUGAGAAUGAACCAGCUGGUGAAACAACUGCAGGUGGUGCAUCGGUCACGAACUUGCUGAUCCCGACGAGUUUAAAGCAACUAAGAAGGCACGCCUUACAUAGAUUGAAGAGGAUAGUCGUCAGCCACGGCGUCGGCUCCUAGAAUCAUACUUGUGCAUAGUUGUUGGCAUGUUGCUUUUAUUACAUCAUCUGGCGUAAACAGUUUACAACUGACUAUAAACCCAAUCAUGUUUGGAAAUUCAUUAUCUUUGUCUACAAGUCGGUGAACUAUUCUAUUUGCGUAUUA
Molecule: long non-coding RNA, 1803 nt
Organism: Brassica rapa (field mustard)
Lineage: Eukaryota; Viridiplantae; Streptophyta; Magnoliopsida; Brassicales; Brassicaceae
Source: RefSeq, a predicted model, not a curated record